Molecule: ribosomal RNA, 253 nt
Filed under: uncultured bacterium
Lineage: Bacteria
Description: partial 16S ribosomal RNA
Rfam family: Bacterial small subunit ribosomal RNA
Source: RNAcentral
UACGUAGGGUCCGAGCGUUGUCCGGAAUUAUUGGGCGUAAAGGGCUCGUAGGCGGUUCGUCACGUCGGGAGUGAAAACUCGGGGCUUAACCCCGAGCCUGCUUCCGAUACGGGCAGACUAGAGGUAGGCAGGGGAGAGCGGAACUCCUGGUGUAGCGGUGAAAUGCGUAGAUAUCAGGAGGAACACCGGUGGCGAAGGCGGCUAUCUGGACAGAGUCUGACGCUGAGGCGCGAAAGCUAGGGGAGCAAACAGG